UGCCAAUGGCACUGCCCGGUAGCUAAAUGCGGAAGAGAUAAGUGCUGAAAGCAUCUAAGCACGAAACUUGCCCCGAGAUGAGUUCUCCCUGACUCCUUGAGAGUCCUGAAGGAACGUUGAAGACGACGACGUUGAUAGGCCGGGUGUGUAAGCGCAGCGAUGCGUUGAGCUAACCGGUACUAAUGAACCGUGAGGCUUAACCUUACAACGCCGAAGGUGUUU
Molecule: ribosomal RNA, 222 nt
Filed under: Escherichia coli
Lineage: Bacteria; Pseudomonadati; Pseudomonadota; Gammaproteobacteria; Enterobacterales; Enterobacteriaceae
Also listed under: 1 other name
Description: partial 23S ribosomal RNA
Rfam family: Bacterial large subunit ribosomal RNA
Source: RNAcentral